UACGGAGGGGGCUAGCGUUGUUCGGAAUUACUGGGCGUAAAGCGCACGUAGGCGGCUUUGUAAGUUAGAGGUGAAAGCCCGGGGCUCAACUCCGGAAUUGCCUUUAAGACUGCAUCGCUAGAAUUGUGGAGAGGUAAGUGGAAUUCCGAGUGUAGAGGUGAAAUUCGUAGAUAUUCGGAAGAACACCAGUGGCGAAGGCGGCUCACUGGACCGGAACUGACGCUGAGGCGCGAAAGCGUGGGGAGCAAACGGG
Molecule: ribosomal RNA, 253 nt
Filed under: uncultured bacterium
Lineage: Bacteria
Description: partial 16S ribosomal RNA
Rfam family: Bacterial small subunit ribosomal RNA
Source: RNAcentral